This 486-nucleotide ribosomal RNA is filed under the name uncultured organism. RNAcentral's name for it is "bacterial SSU rRNA". It matches the Rfam family "Bacterial small subunit ribosomal RNA", at positions 29 to 507 of the family's 1533-position model. The record is from RNAcentral.
AUUGAACGCUGGCGGCAUGCCUUACACAUGCAAGUCGAACGGCAGCACGGGGGCAACCCUGGUGGCGAGUGGCGAACGGGUGAGUAAUGCAUCGGAACGUGCCCAGUAGUGGGGGAUAGCCCGGCGAAAGCCGGAUUAAUACCGCAUACGUACUGAGGUAGAAAGCGGGGGACCCGCAAGGGCCUCGCGCUAUUGGAGCGGCCGAUGUCGGAUUAGCUUGUUGGUGGGGUAACGGCCUACCAAGGCGACGAUCCGUAACUGGUCUGAGAGGACGACCAGUCACACUGGGACUGAGACACGGCCCAGACUCCUACGGGAGGCAGCAGUGGGGAAUUUUGGACAAUGGGCGCAAGCCUGAUCCAGCAAUGCCGCGUGUGUGAAGAAGGCCUUCGGGUUGUAAAGCACUUUUGUCCGGAAAGAAAUCCGUCUGGCCAAUACCCGGACGGGAUGACGGUACCGGAAGAAUAAGCACCGGCUAACUACGUG